GACGAACGCUGGCGGCGUGCUUAACACAUGCAAGUCGAACGGUGAAGCGCCUUCCUUUUUGGUGGGUGUGGAUGAGUGGCGAACGGGUGAGUAACACGUGAGUAACCUGCCCCCUUCUUCUGGAUAACCUCAUGAAAGUGUUGCUAAUACGGGAUAUUCUGGGUCUGUUGCAUGAUGGGUCUGGGAAAGAUAUUGUUUCGGUGGGGGAUGGGCUCGCGGCCUAUCAGCUUGUUGGUGGGGUGAUGGCCUACCAAGGCGGUGACGCGUAGCCGGCCUGAGAGGGUGGACGGUCACGCUGGGGCUGAGACACGGUCCAGACUGCGACGGGGGGCAGCAGUGAGGAAUAUUGCACAAUGGGCAGAAGCAUGAUGCAGCGACGCCGCAUGAGGGAUGGAGGCCUGCGGGUUGUGAACCUCUUUCGCCAGUGAAGCAGGCCUGCCUCGUUUGUGGGUGGGUUGACGGUAGCUGAAGAAGAAGCGCCGGCUAACUACGUG
Molecule: ribosomal RNA, 494 nt
Filed under: uncultured bacterium
Lineage: Bacteria
Description: partial 16S ribosomal RNA
Rfam family: Bacterial small subunit ribosomal RNA
Source: RNAcentral